CCCCAUCUUCCCAGCUAGGGAAUCGGAAGCAUUCGUAGUUAAGUCAUGUUAUUUACAAACACGAUUCCACCAACUCCAUUUCAAGGUUGGUCCCCCCCGGCGACAGAGAUUAAUGAAUUCCUCUCGGAGACACCCUCUUCCACCUAACGCAGCAACUCUCUUUUCCUAGCCGCUGGCUGGGAAUUCGGGUGCGACAGCUUCCGAAGUUGGAGUGGAUUCCAUAGGGCAUUCCUCCACCUCAGAAGGGCACGACUUCUCGGCGUGUCACCUCGGCUGGGACCCACUCAGGACGCAGGGUGGCAUCUCCCGUCCUCAUUGAUUUCCCCGAAUCGCGAGGCUACGGUUCGGGCUGAAACUUUCUCGCUUCCGAACUCAGGCGCAACAUCUGCCCUUUCUCACUCGGCAGGAACUUCCCCGGGCCUCGGCUCUCACUCGGAAAGAGCGACGCCGGCUUCUCGCACGCUCCCGCCGUCCUCCUCCGUCUGGAGCCGCGCGCCCGGCGCCGGCGCGCGCGUGUCCCCACGGCGCCUCCGCCUCCCCCGCCCCACCGCCGCGGAGGGAGCCGGGAGCGCGCGCCGCGGCAGGGACGACGUGCGCGAGACGCACGGCCCCGCGCGCCGAGCGCCGGAAACAGCCGGCCGGGCCUCGCGCGGGGCGCGCGCGCCGCCCCCACCCCGCCGCCGCGGCCUCGCGCGCGCGCGCGCGCACUAAGGCGCCGCCGCCACCGCCGCCGCCGCCGCCGCCGCCGCCGCCGCCGCCACCGCCGCGGCUGCUGCUCCGGCUGCUGCAGGAGGCGGCGCUGGCUGGCUGGCGGCUGCGCUCGCUCCAGUCGGCGAGCGGAGCAGCGAGCGAGCGAGCGUGUGUGUGUGUUUUUUAAAGAUGGCCGGAGCGGCGGCGGCGGUGGCCGCGGGAGCAGCAGCUGGAGCCGCCGCGGCAGCCGUGUCGGUGGCGGCUCCGGGCCGGGCCUCGGCUCCCCCGCCGCCUCCGCCCGUGUACUGUGUGUGCCGGCAGCCGUACGACGUGAACCGCUUCAUGAUCGAGUGCGAUAUCUGCAAGGACUGGUUCCACGGCAGGUAAAUAAACCCCCUCAGCCCCGCCGCCGUCGUCGCCGGCCACCGACCAGCCGCCGUUGCUGCCAGCCGGCUGCCCGCGCCUCCCUCCGGCCCGGCCGCCGCGCCGCGCCCGGGGGCCCGACUGCCGAGCCCCCCCUCCCCCCCGAGCCAGGCGGAGGGGCGCGCGGGGGUCCCCGGUUCCCGGGCCGGCUGCUGAGGGGAACGGGUGGGCUCGCCGGGCCCGGGCGAAGAGUCGCCACAACAAACAGGAACAAAGGGGCGGGCGGAGAAGUUGGCAGGGGGAGCCGGGGCGAGCGGACGCGGCGGGCGGCGCGGCGGGGUUGGCGGCGGAGCGCAGGCAGGGCCCGCAACCCCUCGCUCAUCACCGCCCGGGCCGCCACCGCCACCGCCACCGCCGCCGCGCCGCCCUCCGCGCCCGGGGACUCCGGCCCGAGUCACCGGCCGCCCCGCGCCUGCCGGCCGGCUGCCGCUUCUGCCUGGCUUCCGGGCGACCGCGCGUCGCCCCGCCGCGGGUCCCGUCGCGCC
This 1598-nucleotide long non-coding RNA is filed under the name Castor canadensis (American beaver). Its description in RNAcentral is "lncRNA (ENSCCNG00000014009.1)". The record is from RNAcentral. Lineage: Eukaryota; Metazoa; Chordata; Mammalia; Rodentia; Castoridae.